AUACGUAGGUGGCGAGCGUUGUCCGGAAUUACUGGGCGUAAAGGGCGUGUAGGCGGGGAUUUAAGUCAGAUGUGAAAGACCCGGGCUUAACUUGGGCAUUGCAUUUGAAACUGGAUUUCUUGAGGACAGGAGAGGAAAGCGGAAUUCCUAGUGUAGCGGUGAAAUGCGUAGAUAUUAGGAGGAACACCAGUGGCGAAGGCGGCUUUCUGGCCUGUAACUGACGCUGAGGCGCGAAAGCGUGGGGAGCGAACGGGAUUAGAUACCCCGGUAGUCCACGCUGUAAACGAUGGGUACUAGGUGUAGGAGGUAUCGACCCCUUCUGUGCCGGAGUUAACACAAUAAGUCAUCCACCUGGGGAGUACGGCCGCAAGGUUGAAACUCAAAUGAAUUGACGGGG
Molecule: ribosomal RNA, 397 nt
Filed under: uncultured bacterium
Lineage: Bacteria
Description: partial 16S ribosomal RNA
Rfam family: Bacterial small subunit ribosomal RNA
Source: RNAcentral